This 334-nucleotide ribosomal RNA is filed under the name uncultured bacterium. RNAcentral's name for it is "bacterial SSU rRNA". It matches the Rfam family "Bacterial small subunit ribosomal RNA", at positions 28 to 355 of the family's 1533-position model. The record is from RNAcentral.
GAUGAACGCUAGCGGCAGGCCUAAUACAUGCAAGUCGAACGGAUAUAUGUUUUUUCGGAAUAUAUAUUAGUGGCGCACGGGUGAGUAACACGUACAUAACUUGCCCUCAAGCGGGGGAUAGCCUUGGGAAACUGAGAGUAAUACCCCAUAGAAUUAUUGGACGGCAUCGUUUGAUAAUUAAAACUACGGUGUUUGGGGAGUAGAUGUGCGUCUGAUUAGCUAGUUGGUGAGGUAACUGCUCACCAAGGCGACGAUCAGUAGGGGGCGGUGAGAGCGUGGCCCCCGACCACGGUACGUGAGACACGGACCCGACCUCCUACGGAGGGCGAGCAGU